AUGACUGAGUGCUGGCUGAUGGGAGGCGAGCGGAAGUUAAUGGCAUACUUUUUGACUUGUGCCCUUGAAAGGGAAGCCCUGCCCUAUCCUUGCCCUCGGCUGGGAUGCAGGAUCCUGGGCGCUGUCUCUUACGGAGAGCUGGAAGCUGGAUUAGAGCCGGCGGAGCGGCAGCCCCUGUACCCCAGGCUUAGGUCUUGUCUGAAGCCAGUGGAGGGAGCAGGGAGCAGAGUGCUAUUCGAGGAACGUUUUGGAGCCAGCGUUGUACAGAUGCCAGAGAAGAGACGUCUAAGAUCCUUCACUGCUGUGUAGGUGGUGAGGAGGUGGUAAAAACUCAGCCUCACCUUCAGUGUAACUGGCGUGUGGAAUGGACGUGACUGAGAUGUGUGAGUGGCGGUUAUAAACUGUAUUUAUUUAUUCACAUGAGAGAGAGAGAGAGCGAGAGAGAGAGCGAGAGUGAGAGAGAGAGCGCACUCCCAUCCGUUCAUUCACUCCCCAAUGUCUGCAGUGGCUGGAGCCGGGAACUCAAUGCAGGAGUCCCAUGUGGGUGGCAGGAACCCAAGCACUGGAGCCAUCAGUGCUGCCUCCCAGGGUCUGCACGAGCAGGGAGCUGGGGUCAGGAGCUGGAGCUGACGAGUGAUAUGGGACAUAGGCAUCUUACCUGACAUCAACUGCUAAGCUAAAUGUCUAUCCUGGUGACUUUAUUUUGUCUCCCAUUAUGUGGGAAAAUUGAUUCCAUGGGCUGGCAGAAUGGGGAGACUUCUUCCCUUCUCCCAAAGUAAAACCCCACGUGAGGGGCAGGUGCUGUGGCUUAGUGGGUAAAGACGCCGCCUGCAGCGCUGGCGUCCCAUAUGGGUACUGGUUCUAGUCCCAGCUGUUCCUCUUCCGAUCCAGCUCUCUGCUGUGGCCUGGGAAAGCAGUAGAAGAUGGCCCAAGUCCUUGGGCCCCUGCACCCACGUGGGAGACCUGGAAGAAGCUCCUGGUUCCUGGCUUUGGAUCGGCGCAGCUCCAGCCAUUGCAGCAAAUUGGGGAGUGAACCAGCAGAUGGAAGACCUCUCUCUCUCUCUCUCUCUCUCUCUCUCUCCCUCCCUCCCUCCCUCCCUCUCCCUGCCUCUCCUUCUCUCUGUGUAACUCUGACUUUCAAGUAAAUAAAUAAAUCUUUAAAAAAAAACA
This 1170-nucleotide long non-coding RNA is filed under the name Oryctolagus cuniculus (rabbit). RNAcentral's name for it is "lncRNA (ENSOCUG00000033746.1)". The record is from RNAcentral. Lineage: Eukaryota; Metazoa; Chordata; Mammalia; Lagomorpha; Leporidae.